UUUUUUUUUUUUUUUUAAAUACAAGUUCAUGGGCCUCCCUCUCCCCAGUUCUAUUCACAGAUCCUUUAGGGGUCAGUUCAUGGUGACUUGCACUGCUGGAGCCCAGGACAUUUGUUCAAGGUGUGAGAUGAAUAAACUCAAUUCAGUAACACAAUGGGAUUCUGAACAUUUGAAUAUAAUUCACAAGAUAUUUUUAUACUUGCUAAGCAUACAAUGGCCAUUUCUAUACACCAAAUGUACUUUUUUGUAACACUAAGAUGCUGAAGGUGCUGCCAGACGCACAGGAUUUCAACAGUGCAGAAAGAACACUCUUUGAGAGCAUCAAAGUUAUCAGAGAAUUCGCCAUGGGGAAGGUCAAGUAAAGUAAUUUUCUGUGAGCUUAGUAGAGAGCAACAGAAUUACAUUUUCCAAUUUAAAAGCCUGACACUGCAGUGGAAAAGCCCAUCAACAUUCUCAACCCUGCACCAGAGGGAGAUAGAAAGGCAAAUUUCAUCUGAUAAACAUGCAACAGUCUUUCCUGGAAAGCUUAGUCAAAAUUCAUACCUUCAUUUCUCCCAAACAUCCACUGUAGAAAAUAGUCAUAUAUUUAUUUACUUUCCUAGUUUUUAUAUGAAUGUUAGAAUUGAACAGACACCUAAAUUAACACCUUUUUCUACAUUCACUUCUGGACUAUCCUGCUAUAGAUUCUUGAACCCUCAAAUAAGAUGGUCAAGUAUCUUAGAAACAGUCUCUGGUGAUCUAAGAAUAAAAUGCUACAUUUUUUUUAAAAAGGCCAACUUAGUGUAAUUAAAACAUUUUUUUAACUUUAAAACCGCAUUAUUCUGAAGGUGGCGGUCAGAUGUGCUAGAAGUGGAGUUCCCAUCGUGGCUUAGUGGUUAGCGAACCCAACUAGCACCCAUGAGGACUCGGGUUUGAUCCCUGGCCUGGCUCAUGGGUUAAGGAUCUGGUGUUGCUGUGAGUUGUGAUGUAGGCCAGUGGGUACAGAUCUGAUUCGACCCCUAGCCUGGGAACAUCCAUAUGCCGCGGAUGCGGCCCUAAAGAGACAAAAAGACAAAAAAACAAAACAAAACAAAACUUCUGAUGAAAGCUUGCAAAUUUUGUUAAUGAUUCUCAUAAUAUUAAUAUCAUAAUUUUUCUUUAAGAAAGCACAUUAAAAUAACAAGAUAUAUUAAGCAGUACUAUUAUAAUUUAUCAUACUACUAAUAAUGAGAACUCGAUUCAAUGACUAUUUAUCAAAAUAAGCCUGUGCUGGAGGAGCAGAGUAAAGGAUUAAAGAAACAUAAAUAAAUCCGACAUAGGUAUAUAAUAUUUCCUGGCUCUCAAGUAGCUGAUAUCUUAUUGAAAAGAAGAGACACCAACGUCUGAAAUAAUUUUCCAAACUGCAGAAAGCAUCAUAAACCACUCUACAUGAAAACAAACAUAUACUAGCAUGGAUAUUUACAGUAAUAUUACGCCCCUCUACAACUGAUUAUUAUUACUAUUGCAUAAAAUAGAAACAAAAAUCACAUUAAUUACUAUUAAUAUACCAUAGCACAUGAGAU
Molecule: long non-coding RNA, 1541 nt
Filed under: Sus scrofa (pig)
Lineage: Eukaryota; Metazoa; Chordata; Mammalia; Artiodactyla; Suidae
Description: lncRNA (ENSSSCG00015049320.1)
Source: RNAcentral